AUUGAACGCUGGCGGCAGGCCUAACACAUGCAAGUCGAACGAGUGGCGGACGGGUGAGUAAUGUCUGGGAAACUGCCCGAUGGAGGGGGAUAACUACUGGAAACGGUAGCUAAUACCGCAUACCAUCGGAUGUGCCCAGAUGGGAUUAGCUUGUAGGUGAGGUAACGGCUCACCUAGGCGACGAUCCCUAGCUGGUCUGAGAGGAUGACCAGCCACACGUGAACUGGUGCACGGUGCAGACUGCGACGGUAGGCAGAAGUGGGGAAUAUUGAGCAAUGGGCGCAAUCCUGAUGCAGCCAUGCCGCGUGUAUGAAGAAGGCCUUCUGGUUGUAAAGUACUUGCAGCGGGGAGGCGUUACCCGCAGAAGAAGCACCGGCUAACUCCGUGCCAGCAGCCGCGGUAAUAC
This 406-nucleotide ribosomal RNA is filed under the name uncultured bacterium. Its description in RNAcentral is "partial 16S ribosomal RNA". It matches the Rfam family "Bacterial small subunit ribosomal RNA", at positions 30 to 526 of the family's 1533-position model. The record is from RNAcentral.